Molecule: ribosomal RNA, 497 nt
Filed under: Desulfovibrio sp. DS-1
Lineage: Bacteria; Pseudomonadati; Thermodesulfobacteriota; Desulfovibrionia; Desulfovibrionales; Desulfovibrionaceae
Description: partial 23S ribosomal RNA
Rfam family: Bacterial large subunit ribosomal RNA
Source: RNAcentral
GUCGAUGGCCAACGGGUUAAUAUUCCCGUACUACUAAUAAUUGUGAUGGAGUGACACAGUGAUGAUCUCAGAGGCGAAGAAGGACGUGAUAAGCUGCGAAAAGCUACGGGGAUUGGCACACACGAGUUGAUCCGUAGAUAUCCGAAUGGGGCAACCCACUAUAUUGAAGAUAUAGUAUCCUAAUAGGAGGCGAACCCGCUGAACUGAAACAUCUAAGUAGGCGGAGGAGAAGAAAACAAAAGUGAUUCCGUAAGUAGUGGCGAGCGAACGCGGAAUAGCCCAAACCAAAGUUGUUACGGCAAUUUUGGGGUUGUAGGACCACGAUAUUUCUUGCGGAUUUAAUGAGAAUUACCUGGAAAGGUAAACCGAAGAGGGUGAUAGUCCCGUAUUGGUAAGAGAAGAUAAGAAUAGUGGUAUCCUGAGUAGGUCGGGGCACGUGAAACCUUGAUUGAAACUGGCGGGACCAUCCGCUAAGGCUAAAUACUCCUGAGAGACCG